AGGACGAACGCUGGCGGCGUGCUUAACACAUGCAAGUCGAACGAUGAACCACUUCGGUGGGGAUUAGUGGCGAACGGGUGAGUAACACGUGGGCAAUCUGCCCUUCACUCUGGGACAAGCCCUGGAAACGGGGUCUAAUACCGGAUAUCACUUCCACGGGCAUCUGUGGGGGUUGAAAGCUCCGGCGGUGAAGGAUGAGCCCGCGGCCUAUCAGCUUGUUGGUGAGGUAAUGGCUCACCAAGGCGACGACGGGUAC
RNAcentral lists this ribosomal RNA (256 nucleotides) under uncultured bacterium. RNAcentral's name for it is "partial small subunit ribosomal RNA". It matches the Rfam family "Bacterial small subunit ribosomal RNA", at positions 26 to 286 of the family's 1533-position model. The record is from RNAcentral.